UACGGAGGAUCCAAGCGUUAUCCGGAAUUACUGGGCGUAAAGAGUUGCGUAGGCGGCAGAGUAAGUAGGUAGUGAAAUUACGGGGCUCAACCCCGUGCCCAUUAUCUAAACUGCUCAGCUAGAGAAUGAGAGAGGUGGCUGGAAUUUCUAGUGUAGGAGUGAAAUCCGUAGAUAUUAGAAGGAACACCGAUGGCGUAGGCAGGCCACUGGCUCAUUUCUGACGCUCAGGCACGAAAGCGUGGGGAGCGACCGGG
This 254-nucleotide ribosomal RNA is filed under the name uncultured bacterium. RNAcentral's name for it is "partial 16S ribosomal RNA". It matches the Rfam family "Bacterial small subunit ribosomal RNA", at positions 524 to 776 of the family's 1533-position model. The record is from RNAcentral.